GAUGAACGCUGGCGGCGUGCUUAACACAUGCAAGUCGAACGGAAAGGCCCGAGCUUGCUUGGGUACUCGAGUGGCGAACGGGUGAGUAACACGUGGGUGAUCUGCCCUGCACUUCGGGAUAAGCCUGGGAAACUGGGUCUAAUACCGGAUAGGACCACAUUUUGGAUGGUGUGGUGGAAAGUUUUUCGGUGUGGGAUGAGCUCGCGGCCUAUCAGCUUGUUGGUGGGGUAAUGGCCUACCAAGGCGUCGACGGGUAGCCGGCCUGAGAGGGUGUACGGCCACAUUGGGACUGAGAUACGGCCCAGACUCCUACGGGAGGCAGCAGUGGGGAAUAUUGCACAAUGGGCGCAAGCCUGAUGCAGCGACGCCGCGUGGGGGAUGACGGCCUUCGGGUUGUAAACUCCUUUCGCUAGGGACGAAGCGUUAUGUGACGGUACCUGGAGAAGAAGCACCGGCUAACUACGUG
RNAcentral lists this ribosomal RNA (466 nucleotides) under uncultured bacterium. Its description in RNAcentral is "partial 16S ribosomal RNA". It matches the Rfam family "Bacterial small subunit ribosomal RNA", at positions 28 to 507 of the family's 1533-position model. The record is from RNAcentral.